Balaenoptera acutorostrata (minke whale) is the source of this 4687-nucleotide long non-coding RNA. RefSeq lists it as uncharacterized. NCBI's taxonomy places the organism in Eukaryota, Metazoa, Chordata, Mammalia, Artiodactyla, Balaenopteridae. The transcript has 2 exons. The record is from RefSeq and is a predicted model, not a curated record.
UCCGCCGCUGAGUAGGAGUAUGAGCCCAUACGGCCUGGUGGCGCGCGCCGCAAAAAAAAAAAAGUUGUCUGUGCUCAUCUAGAGGGGGUCGGUAGUCUUCAUAAGAGGCGAGAGAGGAGAAAUGAGUCCACUUAUUUUCUAGGGAAGGAAAAGAAGCGAUCUAGCCAAGGUUCUGGGAGUUAAAACCUUUGCUUGUAAUUCCUCACUGCCCCGAUCCCCAUCUCACCAGACUGCUUCUAGAGAAAGCAGAAUCCACAGGACCAUAGCAUGCUCUAGUCCAGGUGGCGAUGCCAGUGGGAGGGGUGAAAUCCAGAAAGAUCUGCAACGGCACUGAAGACACGGCUCGAAUGUUUGCCAUCUAUCGGCCAUAUGUUCUGCCUAGGUAUUGGAGGGAAGAAAGGUGGCUUCAAAAAUCAAUGGCAGGACUUCCCUCGUGGCGCAGUGGUUAAGAAUCCGCCUGCCAAUGCAGGAGACAUGGGUUCGAGCCCUGGUCCGGGAAGAUCCCACAUGCCGCGGAGCAACUAAGCCCGUGCACCACAACUACUGAACCUGCGCUGUAGAGCCCACGAGCCACAACUACUCAGCCCGUGUGCCACAGCUACUGAAGCCUGCGUGCCUAGAGCCCGUGCUCUGCAACAAGAGAAGCCAUGACAAUGAGAAGUCCGCGCACUGCAACGAAGAGUAGCCCCUGCUCGCCGCAACUAGAGAAAGCCUGCACACAGCAACGAAGACCCAACACAGACAAAAAAAAAAAAGAAAAACUAUACCCAGUAGGGUGGCUAUUAUAAAACACACACACACACACACACACACACACACACACGCAAGAGAGCAAACAAAAAAAGUAAAUAACAGGGGCUUCCCUGGUGGCACAGUGGUUAAGAAUCCGCCUGCCAAUGCAGGGGACACGGGUUCGAGCCCUGGUCCGGGAAGAUCCCACAUGCCGUGGAGCAACUAAGCCCAUGCUCCACAACUACUGAGCCUGUGCCCUAGAGCCCACGAGCCACAACUACUGAAGCCCACGCACCUAGAGCUCAUGCUCUGCAAGGAGAGAAGCCACCUCAAUGAGAAGCCUGUACACCACAACGAUGAGUAGCCCCCACUCGACACAACUAGAGAAAGCCCACGCACAGCAACGAAGACCCAACGCAGCCAAAAAUAAAUAAAUUUAUAUUUUAAAAAAAGUAAAUAACAAGUAUUGGCAAGGAUCUGGAGAAAUUGGGACCUUUGUGCACUGUUGGUUGGAAUGUAAAAUGGUGCAGCCACUAUGGGAAACAGCAUGGAGGUUCCUCAAAAAGUUAAAAAUAAAAUUAGCAUAUGAUCCAGCAAUUCCACUUUUGGGUAUGUGCCCAAAAGAACUGAAAGCAGCCACGGAGCAACUAAGCCUGUGCGCCACAACUACUGAGCCUGCACUCUAGAGCCCGCGAGCCACAACUACUGAGCUCACGUGCCACAACUACUGAAGCCCACGUGCCUAGAGCCCACGCUCCGCAACAAGAGAAGCCACCUCAAUGAGAAGCCUGCGCACUGCAACAAAGAGUAGCCCCCGCUCGCUGCAACUAGAGAAAGCCCGCACGCAGCAACAAAGACCCAACGCAGCCAAAAAUAAAUAAAUAAAUAAUAAAAAUAAAUUAAUUAUUAAAAAAAAACAAAGCAGAAACUCAAAUAUUUAUACACACAUAUUCAUAGCAGCAUUAUUCAAAAUAGUCAAAAGGUGGAAGCAACCCAAGUGUUCAUCAACCGAAGAAUGCAUAAACAAAAUGUGCGCUAUACAUACAAUGGAUUAUUAUUCAGCCUUAAAAAGGAAGGAGGGGCUUCCCUGGUGGCGCAGUGGUUGAGAAUCUGCCUGCCAAUGCAGGGGACACAGGUUCGAGCUCUGGUCUGGGAAGAUCCCACAGGCCGCGGAGCAACUAGGCCUGUGAGCCACAAUUACUGAGCCUGCGCGUCUGGAGCCUGUGCUUCGCAACAGGAGAGGCCGCGACAGUGAGAGGCCCGCGCACCGCGAUGAAGAGUGGCCCCCACUUGCUGCAACUAGAGAAAGCCCUCACACAGAAACGAAGACCCAACACAGCCAUAAAUAAAUAAAUAAAAAUUAAAAAAAAAAGGAAGGAAAAUUUGACACAUGCUACAACAUAGAUGAGACGACGAAAUUAUACUAAGUGAAAUAAGCUAGUCACAAAAGGACAAAUACUGUAUGAUUCCACUUAUAUGAGGUAUCCAGAGUAGUCCAUUCAUGGAGACAAAAAGUAGAAUGGUGGUUGCAAGGGGGUGGAGGAAGGGAGGAAUGAGGAGUUAUUGUUUAAUGGGUACAGAGUUUCAGUUUUGGAAGAAGAAAAAAGGUCUGGAGCUGGAUGGUGGUGAUGGUUGCACAACAGUGUGAAAGUACUUAAUGUCACUGAAUUGUACACCUAAAAUGGUUAAAAUGGUAAAUUUGGGGGUGGGAUGAAUUGGGAGAUUGGGAUUGAAAUCUAUACACUACUGAUACUAUGUAUAAAAUAGAUAACUAAUGAGAACAUACUGUAUAGCCCAGGGAACUCUACUCAGUGUUCUGUGGUGACCUAAAUGGGAAGGAAAUCCAAAAAAGAGGGGAUAUGUGUAUACGUAUAGCUGAUUCACUUUGCUGUACAGCAGAAACUAACACAGCAUUGUAAAUCAACUAUACUCCAAUAAAAGUUAAUUUAAAAAACAAAAAAACAAACAAAAAAUGGUACAAUUUAUGUUAUGUGUAUUUAACCACAAUUUAUAAAAAGUAACUUCUAGUAAGACGUUACCCCUUUCUGACAUGGCAUAGCACAUCUGUGUGCCCUUAUUUUUGUUCUGGGGGCAAUGUUUCUGACAGAAAACAUGGUCUCGAAUGUCUCCUUUAAUAAUUAUGACUUUCUGGUAAUAGACUUUUUCAUUGUAAUUAGUAAAAAAUGUCACAAGAUGUCACUCUUCAGCUGAAAAACUAUUGCAGUUUGGUUCAGUAGCCGAUAACUAUAAGUAAUUCCAGAGCAUCAGAUAAAAGCCUGUAUAUAGUGCUUUGCUCAUACAAAUAUGGUUUUCUGGGAAAGAGAAGGUUUCCAUCUGUGAAAUGUAUUAGUAAGCUACUCUGUUCAUGAAAUUUAUGUUAAUAUUUAUUAACUUCAUUGGUACUAAUUGUUUUUCAGUAUAAAUUGAGCUGGUGUAAUUAAGACAUAACUAACUUUGUAAGUGAUAGGGAAAUACAAAGCUGAGAUGUAAAGAUCAUUGAUCAUUAAAAGUCAGGUGGCUUUACCACUAAAUGAUGUGUGACAUUUGGUAAGUCCUUUAAUCCCUCUGAUUUCACCAGAGUGGUAGAAACAUCCUUUCUUAGGUUGAUAUACACUACCGUAUAUUUACUCUGGGCUAAAACAUAUUUAAGUACAUUCUAAUUCUAAAAUAUUUUGGUUUUUAUAGUAGUAAUCAAAUUGUAACUGUUGAAAUACAAUACCAAUGGGAGUUCAGUAAUAGAAAAUACUGCCCACAAGAAGACAUUAGGAAAUAUAAUGAGACUUCUUGAUGUCCUGAGGGAGUAUUUUAGGAAAAUACUUACUUGUAUUAAACAACUAUAGUCAGAGGUAUAAACUCUUGAAAUAAAAAAGAUCACAUUUAUUACUGAGAACAGUUUUUAAAAGAUAAUGGAAUAUCCUAAAGUGUAAAAGAAAAAUUGCUUUGUUUACAUGUAAAAUUCUUAAGAUUCAAGGACACAUUAAUUCUUAAAGAUUAACCAUUUGAAUUGGUAAUAUUAUACUAUAAUCAAAAUAAUUUUUUAAACUUCUAAUUUUUGUAAGAAGUUUGUAAUCGAGUUAUAAAACCUAAAAACAAUCAAAAGACCAAAUGCUCACCGCUGGAUGAAAUGCUGGACAUUAUAAUGCAUCAAUAAAUGAGGAUAUUACAUUUUUAUUAGUAGUAACAGUUAUUAGGAUUAAGAUUAUUAGGAUGAGAAAAACUAUCAGAAAUGGUGGGUGAAAAUAUAGAACUCAGAAUGAUAUAAAAAAUAGAGUGUAAAUAGUGUCCAGUUAAGGAUAUUGACAGUUGUUUUGUUUCAUUUCAUCUUAUUUAACUCUUAAAACUUAGAUCUUUCUGUUUAACUUUUAUCUUCACAUGAUUAAAUAUGUAAAAGUGGGGGGGACUUCCCUGAUGGUGCAGUGGUUAAGAAUCCGCCUGCCAAUGCAGGGGACACGGGUUCGAGCCCUGGUCCAGGAAGAUCCCACAUGCCGCGGAGCAACUAAGCCCAUGCGCCACAACUACUGAGCCUGAGCUCUAGAGCCCGCAAGCUACAACUACUGAGCCCAUGUGGCACAACUACUAAAGCUCACGCACCUAGAGCCUGUGCUCCACAACAAGAGAAGCCACUGCAAGGAGAAGCCCACGCACAGCCACAAAGAGUAGCCCCCGCUCACCACAACUAGAGAAAGCCCAUGUGCAACAACGAAGACCCAACGCAGCCAAAGAUAAAUAAAUAAAAAUAAAUAAAUUUAAAAAAAAAAAAAAGGAGAGGGGGUGUAGUAGCUAAAGGGUACAGAGUUGCUUUUCGUGGUGAUGAAAGUGUUCUGAGAUUAACUGUGGUGAUAGUUGCACGUAUGUGUGAAUAUAUUAAAAACCAUUGAAUUUUACACUUUAAAUGGGUUAACUGUAUGGUAUAUGAACUAUAUCUCAAUAAAAAGUACGUGAAGGAAGCACACUA